UACGUAGGGUGCAAGCGUUGUCCGGAAUUACUGGGCGUAAAGCGCGCGCAGGCGGCUAUCCAAGUCAGUGGUGAAAGCCCGGAGCUCAACUCCGGAACUGCCAUUGAAACUGUUUAGCUUGAGGACGAGAGAGGUGAGUGGAAUUCCCAGUGUAGAGGUGAAAUUCGUAGAUACUGGGAAGAACACCGGUGGCGAAGGCGGCUCACUGGCUCGUAUCUGACGCUCAGGCGCGACAGCGUGGGGAUCAAACAGG
RNAcentral lists this ribosomal RNA (253 nucleotides) under uncultured bacterium. Its description in RNAcentral is "partial 16S ribosomal RNA". It matches the Rfam family "Bacterial small subunit ribosomal RNA", at positions 524 to 776 of the family's 1533-position model. The record is from RNAcentral.